RNAcentral lists this ribosomal RNA (376 nucleotides) under uncultured bacterium. RNAcentral describes it as "bacterial SSU rRNA". It matches the Rfam family "Bacterial small subunit ribosomal RNA", at positions 521 to 896 of the family's 1533-position model. The record is from RNAcentral.
UAAUACAGAGGGUGCGAGCGUUAAUCGGAAUUACUGGGCGUAAAGGGCGCGUAGGCGGUUAUUUAAGUUAGAUGUGAAAUCCCUGGGCUUAACCUAGGAACUGCAUCUGAUACUGGAUAGCUAGAGUGCAGUAGAGGGUAGUGGAAUUUCCGGUGUAGCGGUGAAAUGCGUAGAUAUCGGAAGGAACACCAGUGGCGAAGGCGGCUACCUGGACUGACACUGACGCUGAGGCGCGAGAGCGUGGGGAGCAAACAGGAUUAGAUACCCUGGUAGUCCACGCUGUAAACGAUGAGAACUAGAUGUUGGUAGGCUUGACCUAUUAGUAUCGAAGCUAACGCAAUAAGUUCUCCGCCUGGGGAGUACGGCCGCAAGGUUA